AUACAGAGGGUGCGAGCGUUAAUCGGACUUACUGGGCGUAAAGGGCGCGUAGGUUGUUAUUUAAGUUAGAGGUGAAACACCUAGGCUCAACCUAGGCCGUGCCUAUGAAACUGAAUAACUAGAGGGAAGUAGAGGGAAGCGGAAUUUCCGGUGUAGCGGUGAAAUGCGUAGAUAUCGGAAGGAACACCAGUUGCGAAGGCGGCUUUCUGGACUUUUACUGACACUGAGGCGCGAAAGCGUGGGGAGCGAACAGGAUUAGAAACCCCGGUAGUCC
RNAcentral lists this ribosomal RNA (274 nucleotides) under uncultured bacterium. Its description in RNAcentral is "partial 16S ribosomal RNA". It matches the Rfam family "Bacterial small subunit ribosomal RNA", at positions 523 to 796 of the family's 1533-position model. The record is from RNAcentral.